RNAcentral lists this transfer RNA (77 nucleotides) under Klebsiella pneumoniae. Its description in RNAcentral is "tRNA-Arg(ccg)". It matches the Rfam family "tRNA". From Rfam's summary of the family: Transfer RNA (tRNA) molecules are approximately 80 nucleotides in length. Their secondary structure includes four short double-helical elements and three loops (D, anti-codon, and T loops). The record is from RNAcentral. Lineage: Bacteria; Pseudomonadati; Pseudomonadota; Gammaproteobacteria; Enterobacterales; Enterobacteriaceae.
GCGCCCGUAGCUCAGCUGGAUAGAGCGUUGCCCUCCGGAGGCAGAGGUCUCAGGUUCGAAUCCUGUCGGGCGCACCA